Molecule: long non-coding RNA, 861 nt
Organism: Pongo pygmaeus (Bornean orangutan)
Lineage: Eukaryota; Metazoa; Chordata; Mammalia; Primates; Hominidae
Exons: 3
Source: RefSeq, a predicted model, not a curated record
GUGCGGCCUACGCGCGGCGCUUCCUUUCGGAUCUGAGGCCCAGACCCUCAAAAUAGAGGGAGCGGCAUUCACAAUGCAAGCAUCCUGUCCUUGAAGAAGUCCAGAGAAAACAUAGAUGUGAAAGCCCACAACAAGAAAGGAAUGAGGACAUAUGUCCUUGGAAUCAUGAGCUGCUGUGAAAAAAACCUAUGACCCUGAAGCCACUAUGUUGAAGAGACUUAAUGGAAAGGCCCAUUUGGACAGGAGAGGCCAUCAGUCAGCAGCAGGCAUCAACUACCUGACAUAGGAGGGUAGCUGUCUUUAGAUGAUUGCACUUCCUCAUCUUUGAGUCUUCCAUCUGAGACCGCAGAUGUUAUAAGGCAUAGACAAGCCACCUCUGUUGUAUCCUGUUGGACUUCUUAAUCCAUAAAACCUAAGAGCAAAAUAAAUGGCUGCUUUAUAUUAUACAUGUUUAUUAGUGUGAGAGCAAUCUGUUAUGUGGCCAUAGUAACUGAAGCAACAAUGAAGAAAAUAAUUUAAAACUAGCUGAUCUACUAUACAUAAUGAUUCCCAGACUCAUAUACUAAGACUCUCCAUAAGAAGUCUUCUACUGGCCAUCUGUCUCCUUAGGGUCUGGCUUUCUACCAUGUUGUAAAGACGGCUCUACUGCUCAGUUGGAAUAUCUUGAAGAGAUCUUGCCACUUCCUAUUUGAAUUCAGGCCCUCAGAAAGGAAAAACGGCAUCCUAAAGAAGAAAAAAAUUCUAGAUAUUUGAAAUAUCACCGGCAAUGAAUACUUAGCCAAUGACAGUCCAUGGAAAGUGCCUGAGUACCUUAAUAAUUCACAGCUUUUCAUGCCAUAUGGGUUCCUUGCUUAUUUUUAA